GUUGGCCUCGGAUCAGGUGGGGAUACCCGCUGAACUUAAGCAUAUCAAUAAGCGGAGGAAAAGAAACCAACAGGGAUUGCCUCAGUAACGGCGAGUGAAGCGGCAACAGCUCAAAUUUGAAAUCUGGCGCAAGCCCGAGUUGUAAUUUGUAGAGGAUGUUUCGGGUGAAGCCACGGUCCAAGUCCCUUGGAACAGGACGUCAUAGAGGGUGAGAACCCCGUACCUGGCCGUCGGUGCCCCCCGCUGUGAAACUCCUUCGACGAGUCGAGUUGUUUGGGAAUGCAGCUCUAAAUUGGUGGUAAAUUCCAUCUAAAGCUAAAUACCGGCCAGAGACCGAUAGCGCACAAGUAGAGUGAUCGAAAGAUGAAAAGCACUUUGAAAAGAGAGUUAAAAAGUACGUGAAAUUGUUGAAAGGGAAGCGCUUGCGGCCAGACUUGCCCGCGGUUGCUCAGCCCGCCUUUUGGCGGGUGCACUCUUCCGCGGUCAGGCCAGCAUCGGUUUGGGCGGUCGGAUAAAGGCGUUGGGAACGUGGCCUCCCCUCGGGGAGGUGUUAUAGCCCGGCGCGCAAUGCGACCAGCCCGGACCGAGGUUCGCGCUUUGCUAGGAUGCUGGCGUAAUGGCCGUAAGCGGCCCGUCUUGAAACACGGACCAAGGAGUCUAACAUCUAUGCGAGUGUUUGGGUGUCAAACCCGUGCGCGUAAUGAAAGUGAACGGAGGUGGGAACCGCAAGGUGCACCAUCGACCGAUCCUGAUGUCUUCGGAAGGAUUUGAGUAAGAGCAUAGCUGUUGGGACCCGAAAGAUGGUGAACUAUGCGUGAAUAGGGUGAAGCCAGAGGAAACUCUGGUGGAGGCUCGCAGCGGUUCUGACGUGCAAAUCGAUCGUCAAAUUUGCGUAUAGGGGCGAAAGACUAAUCGAAC
Molecule: ribosomal RNA, 918 nt
Filed under: Venturia lonicerae
Lineage: Eukaryota; Fungi; Ascomycota; Dothideomycetes; Venturiales; Venturiaceae
Description: eukaryotic LSU rRNA
Rfam family: Eukaryotic large subunit ribosomal RNA
Source: RNAcentral